Nyctereutes procyonoides (raccoon dog) is the source of this 421-nucleotide long non-coding RNA. RefSeq lists it as uncharacterized. NCBI's taxonomy places the organism in Eukaryota, Metazoa, Chordata, Mammalia, Carnivora, Canidae. The transcript has 3 exons. The record is from RefSeq and is a predicted model, not a curated record.
CCCUGCCCUGGUGCUGAGGACUGCGGGAGGCCGGUCCCAUGGUGCCUCCGCCUGCCAGCGCAGGGUUCCCUUCAGGGGCUGCUGGCCGAUCCCGACGGGGGCUCUGGAGACCGCGCAUCUGAGGACGACAGCAGCCUUCUCCGAGCGGGUGACAGCAUGGAGCGGGUGACAGCACGGAGGAGCACUGGGCCCACACGGCGUACUCUGGCCCGGAAACUAGGAAGUGUGCAGUUGCAUUAUGGCUAAGAAAAUGUCACCAGGACACAUGUAAUAAAGAAGUUUGAGCUGCUGCAGGAGUGACAUGUGACACCGAGACAUGAGAAACAGUAGUUUUUAGACAUUGGACAAAGAUCACAAGUCACAAUCUGUGAGAGAAGCAAGACAGGGAAGCACUGUGGUUCUCAGCGUUUGGGCUAUCGCG